RNAcentral lists this ribosomal RNA (379 nucleotides) under uncultured bacterium. RNAcentral's name for it is "bacterial SSU rRNA". It matches the Rfam family "Bacterial small subunit ribosomal RNA", at positions 521 to 898 of the family's 1533-position model. The record is from RNAcentral.
UAAUACGUAGGUGGCAAGCGUUGUCCGGAAUUAUUGGGCGUAAAGCGCGCGCAGGCGGCUUCUUAAGUCUGAUGUGAAAUCUUGCGGCUUAACCGCAAGCGGUCAUUGGAAACUGGGAGGCUUGAGUGCAGAAGAGGAGAGUGGAAUUCCACGUGUAGCGGUGAAAUGCGUAGAGAUGUGGAGGAACACCAGUGGCGAAGGCGGCUCUCUGGUCUGUAACUGACGCUGAGGCGCGAAAGCGUGGGGAGCAAACAGGAUUAGAUACCCUGGUAGUCCACGCCGUAAACGAUGAGUGCUAAGUGUUAGAGGGUUUCCGCCCUUUAGUGCUGCAGCUAACGCAUUAAGCACUCCGCCUGGGGAGUACGGCCGCAAGGCUGAA